RNAcentral lists this ribosomal RNA (406 nucleotides) under uncultured bacterium. RNAcentral's name for it is "partial 16S ribosomal RNA". It matches the Rfam family "Bacterial small subunit ribosomal RNA", at positions 30 to 526 of the family's 1533-position model. The record is from RNAcentral.
AUUGAACGCUGGCGGCAGGCCUAACACAUGCCAGUCGAGCGAGCGGCGGACGGGUGAGUAAUGUCUGGGAAACUGCCUGAUGGAGGGGGUUAACUACUGGAAACGGUAGCUAAUACAGCAUACCAUCAGAUGUGCCCAUAUGGGAUUAGCCAGUAGGUGGGGUAACGGCUCACCUAGGCGACGUUCCCUAGCUGGUCUGAGAGGAUGACCAGCCACACUGGAACUGAGACACGGUCCAGACUCCUACGGGAGGCAGCAGUGGGGAAUAUUGCACAAUGGGCGCAAGCCGGAUGCAGCCAUGCCGCGUGUGUGAAGAAGGCCUUCGGGUUGUAAAGCACUUUCAGCGGGGAGGCGUUACCCGCAGAAGAAGCACCGGCUAACUCCGUGCCAGCAGCCGCGGUAAUUC